AUGAUCUCAAUUAUAUCAGAGAGUCCAGAAGGAGUUCAUCCUCAUCUUCCUCUGGCUCCAAAUCCACUUCUUCUUCCAAAUCUUCAUCUGAGAGCUCUAGCACUAGCUCCUCCAGGUCAUCCUCUUCAGCAAAGGGUGCUUUCCCUGCCCCGGUGGGGCACAGCUGCUGUGUGUUUGCUGUUAUUUCAGGAGGAGCAGAAGCGGACCUGGAGUCCUCUGCCUGGGCCACAGAGUCUGCACAGCAUCCCAGAGGCAUGUCAGAGAGCUCCUGAAGGAGUUCAUCAACAUCCUCCUCUGGCUCCAAAUCCACUUCUCCUUCCAGGUCUCCACCGGAGAGCUCCAGCAUUAGCUCCUCCAGGUCAUCCUCUCCAGAAAAGGGUGCUUUCCCUGCCCUGGUGGAGCACAGCUGCUCUGUCUUUGCAGUUAUUUCAGGAGGAGCUGAAGUGGAGCUGGACUCCUCUGCCUGGGCCACAGACUCUGCCCAGCAUCCCAGAGGUGUGUCAGAGAGCUCCUGAAGAAGUUCAUCCUCAUCUUCCUCUGGCUCCAAAUCCACUUCUCCUUCCAGAUCAUCAUCUGAGAGCUCCAGCACCAGCUCCUCCAGGUCAUCUUCUCCAGCAAAGGAUGCUUUCCCUGCUCCGGUGGGGCACAGCUGCUGUGUCUUUGCUGUUAUUUCAGGAGGGGGGGAAGCGGAGCUGGAUUCCUCUGCCUGGGCCACAGACUCUGCCCUGCAUCCCAGAGGCGCGUCAGAGAGCUCCUGAAGGAGUUCAUCCACAUCCUCCUCUGGCUCCAAAUCCACUUCUUUCAGAUCUCCACUGGAGAGCUCCAGCAUUAGCUCCUCCAGGUCGUCUUCUCCAGCAAAGGAUGCUUUCCCUGCCCCGGUGGGGCACAGCUGCUGUGUCUUUGCUGUUAUUUCAGGAGGAGGGGAAGCGGAGCUGGAGUCCUCUGCCUGGGUCACAGACUCUGCCCAGCAUCCCAGAGGCAAGUCGGGACUUGGGAGAACAAGGAAGAGAGAAAUCAGUACAUGACACUUCUUGA
Molecule: long non-coding RNA, 1035 nt
Filed under: Phasianus colchicus (ring-necked pheasant)
Lineage: Eukaryota; Metazoa; Chordata; Aves; Galliformes; Phasianidae
Description: lncRNA (ENSPCLG00000007547.1)
Source: RNAcentral